Molecule: ribosomal RNA, 253 nt
Filed under: uncultured bacterium
Lineage: Bacteria
Description: partial 16S ribosomal RNA
Rfam family: Bacterial small subunit ribosomal RNA
Source: RNAcentral
UACAGAGGGGGCAAGCGUUGUUCGGAAUUACUGGGCGUAAAGGGCGCGUAGGCGGCCUUCUAAGUCGAACGUGAAAUCCCCGGGCUCAACCCGGGAACUGCGUCCGAUACUGGAAGGCUUGAAUCCGGGAGAGGGAUGCGGAAUUCCAGGUGUAGCGGUGAAAUGCGUAGAUAUCUGGAGGAAUACCGGUGGCGAAGGCGGCAUCUUGGACCGACAUUGACGCUGAGGAGCGAAAGCUAGGGGAGCAAACGGG